UACGUAGGUGACCAGCGUUGUCCGGAUUUACUGGGCGUAAAGAGCGCGCAGGCGGUCGUUCAAGUCGAGUGUGAAAGCCCUCGGCUCAACUGGGGAGGGUCAUUCGAUACUGAUCGACUGGAAGGCAGGAGAGGGAAGCGGAAUUCCCGGUGUAGUGGUGAAAUGCGUAGAUAUCGGGAGGAACACCAGUGGCGAAGGCGGCUUCCUGGCCUGUUCUUGACGCUGAGGCGCGAAAGCUAGGGGAGCGAACGGG
RNAcentral lists this ribosomal RNA (253 nucleotides) under uncultured bacterium. RNAcentral's name for it is "partial 16S ribosomal RNA". It matches the Rfam family "Bacterial small subunit ribosomal RNA", at positions 524 to 776 of the family's 1533-position model. The record is from RNAcentral.